AAAAUAAUCCUACCCUUUGUGAAUUUUGUUUGUUUGAAUAAUUUUUUUUUUUUAAAAAAUUAUUGGAGUCUUUCCCUUUAGAGUUUGCUUUUGAGUUUGUAAAAGAAUUCGAAAACAUCUAAAGGGGAUGGUCAAUAAUUUUUUUUUGAAAAAAGACAUUUUUUAAAAUUAAACUUUUUGUAUUCAUUUGUCUAAAAAUUAUUUUUAUAAUAUAAAAACAACUUUUGACAAUGGAUCUCUUGGUUCUCGCAACGAUGAAGAACGCAGCAAAAUGCGAUAAGUAGUGUGAAUUGCAGAAUACGUGAAUCAUCGAAUCUUUGAACGCAUAUUGCACUUUUUUAGUUUACUAAAAAGUAUGUCUGUUUGAGUAUCAGUAAAAUAUUCUCAUAAAAAUCAUUGUGUAUUUUUAUGGUUAUGAGUGUUUUACAACGAUACAAGUUGUUUCACUUUAAAUUUUUUUUUAAUAUUGAAAUUUUUCUAAUUUUAAUAAUUAAAAUUGGAUAAAAUUUUCCCGUCAAAAGGAAUAACCUAAACAAUUUUAAAUGAUUAAUUUUAGCAAAAUUUUCGAAAAAAAGGAAAAUUUUUAUUAAAAUAACUUGAUCUCAAAUCAGAUAAGAGUACCCGCUGAACUUAAGCAUAUCAAUAAGCGGAGGAAAAGAAACUAACAAGGAUUCCCUUAGUAACGGCGAGUGAAGCGGGAAGAGCUCAAAUUUGAAAUCUUCAAGGUUUUACCUUGACGAAUUGUAGUUUAUAGAAGUGUUUUCUGCUGAAGUUUUGGUAAAAGUUCUUUGGAAUAGGACAUCAUAGAGGGUGAGAAUCCCGUAUUUGACCAUUAUUUUCAGCUUUGUGAUACACUUUCAAAGAGUCGGAUUGUUUGGAAUGCAGUCCAAAAUGGGUGGUAAAUUUCAUCUAAAGCUAAAUAUUGGCGAGAGACCGAUAGCGAACAAGUACCGUGAGGGAAAGAUGAAAAGAACUUUGAAAAGAGAGUUAAACAGUACGUGAAAUUGUCAAAAGGGAAGCGUUUGACACCAGUGUUGUUUUCUCGAAAAUCAAUUAAAAAUGGCUCGAUUUUGUAUUGCUGAGACCUUAAAAGCUCACUGUACAUUUUUCGUGUCUUUUUUGAUGCACUUUUCGUUUAACAAGUCAACAUCAGUUUCUUUUGUUGUAAAAGGGUCAUUGGAAGGUGGCUUUCUUUCGGAGAAAGUGUUUAUAGCCUUUGGCCUCUGCAAUCGGAGAGACUGAGGUCUGCAGCGUAGACUCUUCGGGGUUAGAUACAUUUGUGCUAAGUUAUAGCUUUUUAUAGACAACUUGUUGACUAUAAUUAGUCUUGUAGCUUACUCGCUUAUGCUAUUU
Molecule: unclassified non-coding RNA, 1353 nt
Filed under: uncultured Neocallimastigales
Lineage: Eukaryota; Fungi; Neocallimastigomycota; Neocallimastigomycetes; Neocallimastigales
Description: partial contains internal transcribed spacer 1, 5.8S ribosomal RNA, internal transcribed spacer 2, and large subunit ribosomal RNA
Rfam family: Eukaryotic large subunit ribosomal RNA (bases 598-1353)
Source: RNAcentral